AUAAUAUAUUAUUGGAAUAUCAUCAUAUCACGUUCGCUUUUAUACGUAUGAUACGGAUAUGAUGUAUGUUUAAGUAAUGAUCUCAGGAUUUAGAAAUCGGCAACAUUGUACAAACACUGUGGCGCUAUCUGAGACGUACAUAUAUCUCUAUUCUGCCUUCAGUAUUAAUUUCAACUCGGUUGAAUUAAAACGAGCAAUUUCAUAGCGAAUUUUAUAAAAGUAUGUUUUAUUGAUACGUUACCGAAAUGAUUUCUAAAUAUGAGAGCAACAUCUUAGACUGUACAUAGUUUCUCGAGAUGCAUCUCGUAUAUGUAUUAUAUUUACGUAUAAUGUGUAUAUAUCCCUUUGUAAAUAAUAGAAAUGGAGAUUCGAAAUUACAAAUAAUAUAAAACAUUAUUCAGCGUAUCGGGUGGUUCUCGCCGUAAAUGUACACCAACGAAAUAUGCAAGCUUAUGUGCAUAUUGACAUGGAGCUGGUACCCUUAUAGUAUUAAACGAAUUAUAGUACAUAUGGGUGAGGUUGUACGUCAGUUGUUGAAUCAUUUCUAUAUUGCAACCAAGAUUAUCAUCAAUUAUAAUAUACGAUGUUGGCGUAACAGUGCCCUGCGUAGUGUGUUGAGAUACGAUAAAAAAACUUGGAUAUACUGGAUUAGUAACUAUGACGUCAUUCACAAUUGUGCCACAUGGCGGAUUUUUUCUCUUAUAAAAAAAUCGUGUAUUCACUCGUUUGUUAACGAUUAUAAAUGCCAUUUUUAUUGUCUUUUUAACCUCUUUUCCAAAUACUUUAGCAAUUCUCUUUCUUAUGUUACUUACCUCUUGACUAUUGACUAACUUCAAUUGACUCUCGCCAACACCAUCGCGAUAGAUCACAAUAUUUUUAGGAUAUCUACCUUCAUUGUAUUUUUUAUAUUCUAAUAUAAAGUUACAAAUAUGGUCAGCUAUGUUUUUUGAUAAUUCCUCACCCUUUUCAUGUUUACUUACAACACUGAUAUAUCUGGUUAAAUGUUUGUUUAAAGUACCUACUGUAGCACCUGCAAAAAUAUUGUUUUUUAUUUUUUUUAAUACAUGAAAUCACCGUUCAUAUAUUAUAAUAUAUUUCAAAUAUUUAUUGUAAAAUACUUACCAAUAUCAAAGUUUUUACAUCUUCUAUCAUGACAAACAUCAAAACCAAUCACCAUUAAUUCCGAAAAUACCGAUGGCAAAUCGACAUACCAUGGAAUUCCACCAAGUUUACAAUUCAUUUGAACAAUUAACUUUUGAGCUAUGGAUUCUUUCUUUGGCGAUUUUAAGUUUUCCAAAAAAAUCAUCUGUGAUGGAAUUAUACGGUCAAUGCAACAUUUUAUUUUUAAAUCACGAUAUCUUUGUGAAUUAUUCUUGUCAUCAGUAACGCAAACAACAAAUUGUAUGUUAUCUUUAUACACAUUCUCUAUUGUAUCCAUUAUUGCAUUAUAAUUCUCCAUCAUAACAAGAUUUGGUGUUUCCAUGUGAAAUUGAAUAUCGGCUGCUUUUUUAAGCAAAACAUGUUGGAAUAACUGUCAAAUCAAAAUUUAAUCAAUCAAUUGAUUAUUUUAAGUUGAUUAUUUAUUAAAGUCUAAAUCGAAGAUAAAAAUAUAAUACCAUCCAGUCAUUUUUAUGUUCCUUUAUACAGAUCACAAUCCAUUUGGUUAAUUUUUUAGAAUCAUACAUGGAAUUUCUAUAAAAUAGUGAUUGCCAAUAAUCAUAUCUGUUUUCUAUUCCAUCUUUUCCAGAGAAAAAAAGUUUUGCAUAAGGUAAUAAACGUCCAUCAACUUCAACCAAAUCUUUUUGGAAUUUUAAUUUAUAUGAAUCUAAUUGUUUAAUAUUCUUCGGUUUAGAGUGAAUUUUUUUAUUUAAAUCUAAUAACUGAUCAAUUCGUUGGGAAGGCCAUAUUUGUGAAAAUUUGGAUAUUGUUUUUAAUAUAUUACUAUUUUGCAUCAUUUCAUUUGUCUGACCUGUAUAUACAUAUACAUAAAUACACGCGCGCGCAUACGAUUAGUUCGCCUUAUAUAUUAGUUCAAUUAUAUAUUAUAUAAUAUAUAAGUUAGUACAUACAUCUUCAUGCACUGCCUCGAUAUCAAAUAUACUCACCUAAUUUAUAAGACAAUUCAGGAAUUAAAUAAAUAUCGGUAUUUUGAAUUGCUAGAUUACGUGAUUUUUGUUGCAUGUUUACAAUGAGCAAAGGCUGUCUUAGGUCUUGUAUAGUUAUAUUAUAUCUGUCCUUAUAGUAUUCUAUAAAUUUAAUUUCUUGAUUUACUCGAUUUAGUAGAAACGUACUCAUUGGUGAUAACUGAAAGUUAACAUUUACGAUCUUAUAUGUAUUGUAAUUGUAAUGAGUAAAUACAAUAUAUCCUUUGACUUCUUCAAGAAAUGUUUCCUAUAAAUGUACAUUUAAUUAUUACCAUUCAUUAAUAUUUUGAAGAUACUGAAAGUUAUUUGUUACAUUACCCUUUUGUUCUCAUCUUGUUCAUAUUUAUACCAAGUAUGUAAAAGUGACUUAGUAGACAAAAUUUUGUACGUUGGGUCUAUGCACGCAUAAGUAUCCAUUUCACGUUUCUUAAUAAAUGUGAUGAAACCUGGCCACAAUUCUACAUUAUAAUUCUUAAAUUCCACCUGUUUUAAAAUAUAUAUAACAUCCUAAAUAAGUAGAUAUAUACAUAUUUAAAUCUAUAGGAAUUUAUACAUAAAUACAUUUCUACAUAUUUAAAUACUAAUGUAUUAUAUUAGGUUGAGGAAACAAAAUUCAUUAUUUUAUUUUUUUUUUUUUUUAUUUGACCCAAAUCGAACAAUCUGAAACAUAUUAAAUAAAGUCUUGAAGUUCACGCAAAAAUAAUGGAUUUCUAAUAUUUUUAUUAUUUUUAUCGUAGUAUCUUUGUAUAUGUAGGCCCACGAAACUACGCUACGGAUCUGAUUAAUAGAACAGGAAAACUAAGUUCGCAGAACGAUUAAAUAAAUAAAAAUAUUUUGUAAGAUUAUCAAUUUUUUGUUCUGCUACGCAUGGAAUAGAAAGAGAAGUGCUAAAAAAUAUGGCAAAAAAAGAGAACAAAAUAAUAUCAGGACUAUUUAUAUUUUUGAAAGGACAAUUUGAGGACAGUUGACAAAUGCCAGUUAUCGACAGUAGAGAGAGUUAAGUUUAGUUAUUUUCGAAUGUUUCAAAUUAUAUCGUUAUCUAUCUUUCUUUUUCUUUUUUUACUUAUAAGUUUCUACUUUAAGCAUUGAAAUAUAACUUUAAAAAAUAAAAAAACCAUUAUUUUAGUCCCUAGUAAUUGUUAUACUUAGUUAAUCCCACAUAUAUAUGUAAUUAUAUAAGAAUGUAUUACGCUUUGACAAUGACAUAAUCAUGGUAAUUUAGCUGUUUACUCACUUUAUUGUUUUUAUCAUAUGAAUUUUGAAAAAUUGAUCGUAGAUUUAUCUCAUUUAAGCAUUCCUUUAAUAUUAAACUGAAACAAUACACUAGACAUUGUGUAUUACUUCCCUUUACAUCCAUGGUUUUUCGAUAAUCUAUAACUAUUAGAAUAUCAUUUUGAACAUUGUUUUCAUCAAAAUAUUUUGAAUUGAUAUUAUACAUCUGAAAGUUAAUAUUUUCUUAUUGCAGAUAAAUAUUAUACGUUUAUUUUAAUAUUUCAAUAUUAGUAAAUGUUAAUACUUACUUCAGGAAAACGUUUUGAUGAAAAUAAUGAAUAACCGUCAUAAAUACAUCCUUUUAGUGGUGGUUCAAUAUUUUGAAACAAAUAUUUACGCAUUCUCUUAAUAUAUUGAACUGGAGUAAAAUUAACACAAUGUUUUAUAAAAGUCCAAUCAUCAGAAUAUAGAAACUUGAAAUAAUUUGUCUGAAGUUUAAUAGUUGAACCUACAAAUUAAAAAUAUUUUUUUUCAUAGAUUAUAAUCGAGAUUUUAAAUAAUAAUUAAAUAGAUCGAAAUUUCUAAUACGAUCGAAUAUAGAGGGCAAAUGUUAUAUUAUACGAUAUAAAAGAAAAAGAAAGGAGAAAAAAAAGUGAGAAGAGAACAAAAAGAAAAUAAAAAACAUUAAAUAUUAUAAGACACAGAACGGAAAGAAAAAAAGCAAUCGUAUCAAAACAAACACAAACACGUUUCAGAAUCUAUUAUCCUUUAUUAUCCUCCAUGCUUUUUUUUUUAUCCGUUAUUUUAAACAAAACCUGAUUGUUCUUCAUCAAACUGUCUGCAUGUUAACUAAUCUAAUUAUUUUCAUUGAUAAUUCCUUAAUCUGAUUCAAAGUUAUCAUAUAAAAAAGUAUUAUAAAAAAAGAAGCGAAGUCUCCAUAUCUUGACUAAUUAUAAGAUACCUCAGAAUUAAGUAAUUUUUUUCAAUAUUCUUAUUUUUCCUUCACUUACAUAUAAAUAAAAUCAAAAACGUUAUAAUAAGAUAAAUGCAUGUGUGUUUAAAAGAAAAAGAGCGCUUCAUGGAUAUGAUCAUAAAAACUAUGUCUGUAAAUACCUAUAAAUGACUUACAAAACAAAUAGAAAAGGUCGACGGUAUGCCGAAUUAAGCAAAAACAAAAGUGCCGUGUCAACAAGAAAAAAACGUUUGAUGUCUUACAAGCCAUUUGGCAAAUUUUUUAAAUUAAUAUUUUCUUUAUUACGAAUCCUUUUUUCUGCUUUCCCAUUCCUAAUCUUAAACUAGCAAAAAUUAUAUCGAUAAAUAAUUAUAUAGAUAAAAAUAAUAAAUGAUGAAAGUGUAAAUUCAUAACAUAGAUGUUUCAUUUAUUUUAAUUAUAAAAAGCAAAACUUACCAGGUUCUGGAAAAUUUUGUUUAAUUCUUUUACUUUGGGUCGAAGAAGGAAAAUAAUCUUUAGAACUUCCCGCUAAUAAAAAUAAAUAUUUGUAUAUGAAUAUUUUUAAUAUACAUACACGCGUGCCUUUUAAUUAAGUAAUGUAUUACUUCGAACAUUGUAUCCACUACGUACCUACAGGAUAGUCAUCUUCAAAUAGUCGUCUUUUAUGACUUGAGCUCUACAACAUUAUUCCAAUUUAUUCCAAAUUAUUUAUAGCAUUGUCUUUAGUUAAUAAUAAUACAUAUUAUAUGAAUUCUUCAUUGUUAAUUUUUAAUAAUCCUUUCUUAAACCGAUGUGCUCAGUAUUAUAUAUAUAGAUAAAUAGAUAGAUAGAUAUCACUAAUAUACAUUGUUCCAUAGUAAAAUCAGAUAAAAAAAAAUAACAUAAGAUACACAAAACAAAAUUUAGUUAAGUGUAUGUCGAAUUAUGAUAUACUAUAUGGAAUUUAUAAAUACGUUCAUUGUUAGUCAUUGCUUUAGUCAUUGCUACUUUGACUAAAUUAUAUAAGAAUUUAGUUUACAAUAUUCAAAAGAAUAAAUAAAACUUGUAUCAUAAAUAAUGAACAUAUAGAUACAUUUUAUACCGUACUUGUUAUCACUAACUAAUUAUCACUAACUUAAGCACGCCAUGCAUCCACAUAUUACAUGCGUAAAUGUAUGUGUGUGAAAAUAAAACGAAUGUACGAAAAAACCAUAAAUAUAUAAUAUCUCACAAAAAUUACACAAAAUAUCUAUUUAAUUUAAUGUUUUAAUAUUUUCUAUUAUUUUUACUUACUUGAUCUUUUGACAUAUAUCUUUUAUGCUGACGCUGUUCUGACAUUGAUUGCGAAGGUCCAGGCGAAGAUAAUACUUCUGACUGCGACUUUUCACUCAGCGACGAUGAUGAUCCAAACUGAUCACUAGACAGGUAUUCAUCAGAACGGUAUCCUUUAGUAUCCUUGUAUGUUUUAGGAGACUGGUAUUUUCUAGGAGACUGGUAUUUUCCAGGAGACCGGGAUGUUCCAGGAGACCGGGAUGUUCCAGGAGACUGGAAUUUUCUAGGAGACCGGAAUGUUCCAGGAGACCGGGAUGUUCCAGGAGACUGGAAUUUUCUAGGAGACCGGGAUGUUCCAGGAGACCGGGAUGUUCCAGGAGACUGGAAUUUUCUAGGAGACCGGGAUGUUCCAGGAGACUGGAAUUUUCUAGGAGACCGGGAUGUUCCAGGAGACCGAGAUGUUCCAGGAGACUGGAAUUUUCUAGGAGACCGGGAUGUUCCAGGAGACUGGAAUUUUCCAGGAGACUGGGAUUUUUCAGGAGACCGGUAUUUUCUAGGAGACCGGGAUUUUCCAGGAGACCGGGAUUUUCCAGGAGACUGGUAUUUUCUAGGAGACUGGUAUUUUCUAGGAGACCGGGAUUUUCUAGGAGACCGGGGUUUUUUAGGAGACUUGAAUUUUUCAGGAGACUGGUAUUUUCUAGGAGACCGGGAUUUUCUAGGAGACCGGGGUUUUUUAGGAGACUUGAAUUUUUCAGGAGACUGGUAUUUUCUAGGAGACCGGGGUUUUUUAGGAGACUUGAAUUUUUCAGGAGACUGGUAUUUUCUAGGAGACCGGGAUUUUCCAGGAGACCGGUAUUUUCUAGGAGACCGGGAUUUUCCAGGAGACCGGUAUUUUCUAGGAGACCGGGAUUUUCUAGGAGACUGGUAUUUUCUAGGAGACCGGGAUUUUCUAGGAGACUGGUAUUUUCUAGGAGACUGGGAUUUUUCAGGAGACUGGUAUGAUCCAGUAGACUGGGAUGGUCCAGUAGAUUGAAAAGGCGGGUUUGAUUCUGGAGGAUGGUGUGAUUCAGGAUAUGAUACAAGUUUGCGGUAAUCCAGGCUGAUAUUGCGAUGGUCCAGGCUGAGAUGUUUCAUACUGUGGAGGUUGAUCUUGAUCUGGUCUAUCUAAACGAUGUACUCUUUUAGGUUGUACAUUAGGUGACCUUUGUUUACCACCUCUAUCUUGUUCCAUUUUAUAUACUAUCAAAUUCGUAUAUAAUGUUAAAAUUUCAGUCCUGAAAUAUUUAAAUUAUAGAUUAAAAGUAGAAUUUUAAAUAUUAUAAAUAUACAUUAAUGCCUUUAACAAUCUAAAUUUUUAUUUUAAUACAUAUACAUUAGA
This is a long non-coding RNA of Vespa velutina, 6937 nucleotides long. RefSeq lists it as uncharacterized. The transcript is spliced from 3 exons. Lineage: Eukaryota; Metazoa; Arthropoda; Insecta; Hymenoptera; Vespidae. The record is from RefSeq and is a predicted model, not a curated record.